RNAcentral lists this ribosomal RNA (1372 nucleotides) under uncultured bacterium. RNAcentral's name for it is "bacterial SSU rRNA". It matches the Rfam family "Bacterial small subunit ribosomal RNA", at positions 28 to 1381 of the family's 1533-position model. The record is from RNAcentral.
GAUGAACGCUGGCGGCGUGCCUAAUACAUGCAAGUCGAGCGAGCGGACGAGAAGCUUGCUUUUCUGAUGUUAGCGGCGGACGGGUGAGUAACACGUGGAUAACCUACCUAUAAGACUGGGAUAACUUCGGGAAACCGGAGCUAAUACCGGAUAAUAUUUUGAACCGCAUGGUUCAAAAGUGAAAGACGGUCUUGCUGUCACUUAUAGAUGGAUCCGCGCUGCAUUAGCUAGUUGGUAAGGUAACGGCUUACCAAGGCAACGAUGCAUAGCCGACCUGAGAGGGUGAUCGGCCACACUGGAACUGAGACACGGUCCAGACUCCUACGGGAGGCAGCAGUAGGGAAUCUUCCGCAAUGGGCGAAAGCCUGACGGAGCAACGCCGCGUGAGUGAUGAAGGUCUUCGGAUCGUAAAACUCUGUUAUUAGGGAAGAACAUAUGUGUAAGUAACUGUGCACAUCUUGACGGUACCUAAUCAGAAAGCCACGGCUAACUACGUGCCAGCAGCCGCGGUAAUACGUAGGUGGCAAGCGUUAUCCGGAAUUAUUGGGCGUAAAGCGCGCGUAGGCGGUUUUUUAAGUCUGAUGUGAAAGCCCACGGCUCAACCGUGGAGGGUCAUUGGAAACUGGAAAACUUGAGUGCAGAAGAGGAAAGUGGAAUUCCAUGUGUAGCGGUGAAAUGCGCAGAGAUGUGGAGGAACACCAGUGGCGAAGGCGACUUUCUGGUCUGUAACUGACGCUGAUGUGCGAAAGCGUGGGGAUCAAACAGGAUUAGAUACCCUGGUAGUCCACGCCGUAAACGAUGAGUGCUAAGUGUUAGGGGGUUUCCGCCCCUUAGUGCUGCAGCUAACGCAUUAAGCACUCCGCCUGGGGAGUACGACCGCAAGGUUGAAACUCAAAGGAAUUGACGGGGGCCCGCACAAGCGGUGGAGCAUGUGGUUUAAUUCGAAGCAACGCGAAGAACCUUAUCAAAUCUUGACAUCCUUUGACAACUCUAGAGAUAGAGCCUUCCCCUUCGGGGGACAAAGUGACAGGUGGUGCAUGGUUGUCGUCAGCUCGUGUCGUGAGAUGUUGGGUUAAGUCCCGCAACGAGCGCAACCCUUAAGCUUAGUUGCCAUCAUUAAGUUGGGCACUCUAAGUUGACUGCCGGUGACAAACCGGAGGAAGGUGGGGAUGACGUCAAAUCAUCAUGCCCCUUAUGAUUUGGGCUACACACGUGCUACAAUGGACAAUACAAAGGGCAGCGAAACCGCGAGGUCAAGCAAAUCCCAUAAAGUUGUUCUCAGUUCGGAUUGUAGUCUGCAACUCGACUACAUGAAGCUGGAAUCGCUAGUAAUCGUAGAUCAGCAUGCUACGGUGAAUACGUUCCCGGGUCU